UACGGAGGGUGCGAGCGUUAAUCGGAAUUACUGGGCGUAAAGGGCGCGUAGGCGGUGAAGUAAGUCGGGUGUGAAAGCCCCGGGCUCAACCUGGGAACGGCAUCCGAUACUGCUUCGCUAGAGUAUGGUAGAGGGAAGCGGAAUUCCGGGUGUAGCGGUGAAAUGCGUAGAUAUCCGGAGGAACACCAGUGGCGAAGGCGGCUUCCUGGACCAAUACUGACGCUGAGGCGCGAAAGCGUGGGGAUCAAACAGG
Molecule: ribosomal RNA, 253 nt
Filed under: uncultured bacterium
Lineage: Bacteria
Description: partial 16S ribosomal RNA
Rfam family: Bacterial small subunit ribosomal RNA
Source: RNAcentral